RNAcentral lists this ribosomal RNA (492 nucleotides) under uncultured bacterium. Its description in RNAcentral is "partial 16S ribosomal RNA". It matches the Rfam family "Bacterial small subunit ribosomal RNA", at positions 29 to 507 of the family's 1533-position model. The record is from RNAcentral.
AUUGAACGCUGGCGGCAUGCUUUACACAUGCAAGUCGAACGGUAACAGGCCUUCGGGUGCUGACGAGUGGCGAACGGGUGAGUAAUGCAUCGGAACGUACCCAGAGGUGGGGGAUAACGCAGCGAAAGCUGUGCUAAUACCGCAUGUGAUCUGAGGAUGAAAGCGGGGGACCGAGCAGCAAUGUUUGGCCUCGCGCCUUUGGAGCGGCCGAUGUCGGAUUAGCUAGUUGGUGGGGUAAAGGCCUACCAAGGCGACGAUCCGUAGCUGGUCUGAGAGGACGACCAGCCACACUGGGACUGAGAGACGGCCCAGACUCCUACGGGAGGCAGCAGUGGGGAAUGUUGGACAAUGGGCGCAAGCCUGAUCCAGCAAUGCCGCGUGCGGGAAGAAGGCCUUCGGGUUGUAAACCGCUUUUGGCAGGAACGAAACGGUGUCCGCUAAUACCGGGCGCUAAUGACGGUACCUGCAGAAUAAGCACCGGCUAACUACGUG